RNAcentral lists this unclassified non-coding RNA (2345 nucleotides) under Hevea brasiliensis (rubber tree). Lineage: Eukaryota; Viridiplantae; Streptophyta; Magnoliopsida; Malpighiales; Euphorbiaceae. The record is from RNAcentral.
CCUCUAACUUCACUCAACGUGAUCCUAGCUACGAUCUACAUACAAGCCACUCGUUGUACAUUAAUUAUUUAUUGCUUCCGCAACCUUUUGCUUUGUAGGUUGGCACUUCCAUCGCUCCACACGAGCCUAGUUUGGCUUCCGCUAUCAUUCAUUGCAAAAGAUAGAGUCUGCAUGCGAUUAAGGUUCUUAGCAUAAUGAAUUUGAAUAAAAGCGUCCAAAAGACUAUCACAAAAGGAUCUCAAAUCGCACCUGUCUUGAUCUCUUAUCAAUGGGUGUCCUUACCUGAAGAAAAGGAGCUGAAGAUCUUUCACGAUUGGAUGAACUUGGCAAUUGUUUAGACUGCUUCUGCUUCUUUUGAUUGUGCAUUUUCCCAGGAUUACUGCCCCCUUUGUACUUGAAAAACUCAAGAAUGGAUGGACUUCUUCGCUUAGUAACUUUUGAUAUACUGCCCGAACACCCAAAAUCAGGGGUUGAUGCAUCACGUGGAAGAGACUGCUGCCGCAUUCUCUUUUCCCGGAUUCUAUUAAGAAACUCUAUUGUCCAGGGUGAACCUGGUUGUGGAUGGUCAGAAUAAAUUGCUUUAGAAAGAGGUGUUCCACCAUAAGGGGAUACCUCCUCUUUUAACGCCAACUUGAUGGUAUUUCUUACAGAUCCUUGCAUUAAAAUAUCUUCCAACGGCUUUUUUGGGUGCUUUAAAGGCAUGCCAGUAUCAGCGUAGCUGCUAUUUUGAUGUAAACUUUGUCUGUGAACUUUUACAGAGGACAAUAAAUCUGAACCAGGGUUGAUUGCAGCAGCCGUAGGAAAAGUAGGGCGAUUGAUUUUACCAAAUGACAAUCUUCUUGCAGCCGACUUUCUUGUGGAGUCUUGUUCUGUUUCUGGCAGCCAAGUUGAGAAACACAUCGAGUUAGUGAUAGGAGGAACAUCCUUACCGAGAAUAUCAGAGAGGUCAAUAACUUCACCUAAAAAGUCCUCAUGUAGAUUCUCAGAUUGACUCGUUUUAUUCCAGUCCACCUUGUUAUUGAUUUUCCUUUCUGAUCCCUCAUUUUGACCCCACAAUUUAUCAUUCAAAUAUAACCUUGGCUUUUCAACUUCAUCUAAUAUCACAGGACCUUUGGAGUUCUGGGAAUCAUAUGGCUUGGAGAUAGUAGAAGAAUCCACUAUCUGUGCAAUAUCCAAUCCCUGUUUUUGACCAAACAAAUCUUUCAAAAAUGGCCGCGGCCAUUGCAAAUCAUCAAGUUUCUCAGUAUCUCUCGACAUCCAACAAUCACCUCCCCUUAACACUCCGGAAGGACCCUGUACAUCAUCAGGGAACUGGUUUAAGGGUUCAAACUGCCAUGUAUCAUCCAUAUGCAUGCCAAGUUUGGGGGAGAUAUGGAUGCAUUUUAGUGGUUUUGUUUCAGAAGCAACAAUAAAAUCACACUUAUUGGAGUCAGGACCAGAGGAUACAGAAGAAGAGCAGUCUGUCAUUAUGGAUUUAGAAUCCUCCCGUUCACCAUAGCUGCAAAAAGCACUAAAUAGAACGAUACUUUCUUCAGGAACAUGAUAAUGUUGGACUGCAAGGAUCCUUUGCUCAUUUGACCACUCAAAAAACUCAAUAAGCAUGCCUCCUGAAGACAGUAUUGCAUGAGCUGUCAGUGGAUUUACUGAAGGAAAUUUCGUAAGGAAUGAUUCUGCAAGAGUUUCUGAUUCAGGCAUUUUAGGAUAUAUGCCCCUGCACAGCUUAGCAGCAUACAAAAUAUUGCUUAAUAUGAUUUCAUCAGUCAACUCAGAUGAAUAGGAACAGAAAAGCUGCAAAUCAAUUCCCAGGCUUGCAGCUGUUGCAUAGAGUCCAUCUGAGGAUUCCAUUACAGUGGAAAGGAAGUUGAUCUCUCCCUCAAACACCAGAAUGCAGCAGCUGAAAGUGAAACUUAGCAAUGGCAAAACAUUUGUAGCAAUAUUCUCAAUGCAAAAUGGCAAGCAUGAAGAAGCUUCAUAUGCAGUAGUUGCUUUCUUUCUAAUGUUUCUGCAAUGAUACCACACCAAGCAAAUGGCAGAAAUAAUCACAACAUCCACAGGCAGAUCUAAAUCACGUUCCAAAACUUGUAAUCCCUCUUUCUCCAUUGCAAGAAUUUUUUGGUACGUACUUCUUCUGGAUACUAUCAUUUCCUUGUCAAGAUUUUGAGUAUUCACAACAACUAUGGUGUCAGGGAAAGGCAUCAUGCAUGCUCUAGUCUUUUCUGAUUUCAUUGCAUAGGACACAUUAGGAACCUCCAUAGGCAUAUAGCAAGGUUCUACUUUAUCUGCAGCUUCUGAAGUUGUUGCAUAAUGCUUGUUCUCAGUAGGUAGAACAUUAAGCACUUCCUUCA